GACGGGGACCCGCACAAGCGGUGGAUGAUGUGGAUUAAUCGAUGCAACGCGAAAAACCUUACCUACCCUUGACAUGGUCGGAAUCCCGCUGAGAGGUGGGAGUGCUCGAAAGAGAACCGGCGCACAGGUGCUGCAUGGCUGUCGUCAGCUCGUGUCGUGAGAUGUUGGGUUAAGUCCCGCAACGAGCGCAACCCUCGCCUUUAGUUACCAUCAUUUAGUUGGGGACUCUAAAGGAACCGCCGGUGAUAAGCCGGAGGAAGGUGGGGAUGACGUCAAGUCCUCAUGGCCCUUACGCGCUGGGCUACACACGUGCUACAAUGGCAACUACAGUGGGCAGCAAUCCCGCGAGGGGGAGCCAAUCCUGAAAGCAGGCCUCAGUUCAGAUUGCAGUCUGCAACUCGACUGCAUGAAGCCGGAGUUGCUAGUAACCGCAGGUCAGCAAUACUGCGGUGAAUACGUUCCCGGGUCUU
Molecule: ribosomal RNA, 470 nt
Filed under: uncultured Allobrachymonas sp.
Lineage: Bacteria; Pseudomonadati; Pseudomonadota; Betaproteobacteria; Burkholderiales; Comamonadaceae
Description: bacterial SSU rRNA
Rfam family: Bacterial small subunit ribosomal RNA
Source: RNAcentral